RNAcentral lists this long non-coding RNA (1180 nucleotides) under Homo sapiens (human). RNAcentral's name for it is "HSALNT0243974". Lineage: Eukaryota; Metazoa; Chordata; Mammalia; Primates; Hominidae. The record is from RNAcentral.
CGCCGGGACCCCGCCGAGCGGCAGAAUGACUUGGGAUAUAAAUAAACUAAAUAUAUCCUGUUUGAAUAAUAAGUGGAAGACAGCUUGAUGAAUUGGACAAGCACUUGGCUCCAUACCUAGGAUACAGCAGUUCCUCCAUCAAUAUACAAAAGAAUAAGAUUCAGAGAGAAAUGCAGAGGCCAGAGAUGGGGAACCACACAGCCCCAGGAGCCUCCGUUUCUGCCUGCUGGGUUCCAGCCCUGAAGAAGCUCAGCUGUCCACUGUCCAUGGAGGCACAGACACGUCAUUUAAAUUCCUUUACUUAAGGUGGCAUGAGGUCCUUUUUCUUUCUGGAGAGCUGGAAAUUUGCUUUUUCCCUCUUCAAAAGAAAGGCUGCAGCGAGCCUCAUGGGCUGGGUGUGGUGGCUUAUGCCUGUAAUCCCAGCACUUUGUGGGGCUAAAGCAGGAGGAUCACUUGAGCCCAGGAGUUCGAGACCAGCCUGGGCAACAUAGUGAGACACCCCCAUCUCUACAAAAAAUAAAUAAACACAAUUAGCCAGUUGUGGUGGUACACACCUGUGGUCCCUGCUUUUUGGGAGGCUGAGGUGGGAGGAUCACUUGAGCUCAGGAAGUCAAGGCUGCAGUGAGUCAAGAUCACGCCACUACAUUCCAGCCUGAGCAACAGAGUGAGACCCUAUCUCAAAAAACAAAAAGCAAAACAAAGGAACAAAAAAGCCCUCAAGGCCUUUCAUUUAAUAGCAAGGGUAAUAACAAACACUCAUAGAGUCUAUCUGUAAAACAUUCAUUUAAAGACCACUCAUUUAAUCUUCAUGACCAGCCCCUGAGGGGGAUAUGGUGAUAGCCUCCUCAUUGUUCAGGUGAGAAUCUGGAGGUAGGUGUGGACUUGGCACAGAACUGGGAAGUAGCGAAGGUCAGAUUCAAAACCUGGGUAGUCCAGCUCCAAAGUCCAUUGCCGAACCAUUAUACUGGUUGCAACGCCCUGCCCCAAGUGUAGCAUAAAAGUGUUUGUAGAAUAGACAUAAGAGACAUGGAGUAGCUGAGUGUUAGGAGAAGGCUUGCUCCCCAUUCCCUUUUUCUUCUUUGAGUCUGCCCUCCCCGCAACAACUGCUGAGGCUUUGCCCCUUUGCUGGCUGGGCCCUAGAAGAGAUGGAAUGACUCACUGGAUUAAUACAUUUGGGAAG